AGUAAACUGGUGAUGCCAGAACAAGAUUUUACAUGGGAGUGGCGGAUUGCCAGGUAUAUCAAGACUGCCACUCAGUUUAACCUUGUGGACAGACUAGGAGUCUAGGGUAGGUGUUGUAAGGGGACAAUAUAAAAAUAAAUUUAAAGAAAUUACACAUUUUGUCAUUGACAUGUACAACUGUAACCAUCUGUUAUGCGUUUGUGGAAGGGGACUCACCAUAAUCUCUAGAGUCAGCAAAGAGCUAAAAUUUGAGCAAACUAAUAAAUUCAUGAAGUAAGCAAAGUUGGGUCAAUUAAAACUAAGCCAAGCACUGUUGCUUUCCAUUUAGGACCACAAGCCCAGGCAGCUUCACAGGACUAGCCCCAGGGAUAAGCCAAGGUGUUGACAUUACAAAAGGUGUUCAUCUAAGAGGGGCCUGGUCAGACGAAGGGUACCAAAGUAAUGGGGUGUGUGAGAGCGGCGGCAGGAAAAGAGUGUCUUUAGCAAGGUGUAAUGGGAAGGAGAAGGGAGAACCAAGACAGAGUCUUCAUCUUUGGCAGGCUGGCUGAAGGCAGGAUGGGAGAGAUGCCUUGGACUCCAACGCUGCACUGCUGUGGGGAACAAGCUUCUCUUCUGACCAUGCUGUAAGAUCUGGACUUCCUCCAUCUAGAUUGAUCAGGAAUCCAACAGUGCUAUGGUAUCCACACAGGCUCCCUGUUGUGAAAAACUCCAACGUGACCAAUUUUUUUUUUUAACCUAUUAAAUGGUUUAGCUCCUUCCAGCUGUAAUACAAAAUACUAUUAAUUGUAACAAUGUACAGUGGUACCUCAGGUUAAGUACUUAAUUUGUUCCAGAGGUCUGUACUUAACGUGAAACUGUUCUUAACCUGAAGCUAAUGCGGCCUCCUGCUGCCACUGCGCCGCCGGAGCACAAUUUCUGUUCUUGUCCUGAAGCAAAGUUCUUAACCUGAAGCAAUAUUUCUGGGUUAACAGAGUCUGUAACCUGAAGCGUAUGUACAGUACAGUGGUACCUCAGGUUUCAAACACCUUGGGUUACAAACACCUCAGGUUACAGAUUCUGCUAACCCAGAAGUAGUACCUUGGGUUGAGAACUUUACCUCAGGAUAAGAGCAGAAAUCAUGCGCCAGCGGCUGUGGGAGGCCCCAUUAGCUAAAGUGGUACCUCAGGUUAAGAACGGUUUCAGGUUAAGAAUGGACCUCCGGAAUGAAUUAAGUUCGUAACCAGAGGUACCACUGUAUGUGGAACUAAGUAAGAGGGCUAGGGCAGCACACAGGGAGAGAAAUUUAUUGACACUGAGGGGAAGGCACAGAUACUAGGAAGUGACUUGGCACAAACAGGUCAGAGACAGAGCAGGAGGGACAGAGAGAGUUAGGAAUUGAACCAGAUUUUAUUGGCAUUGGCUUGGCCAAAGUGAAGACAGAACAGCAUUCUGGAGCAGAUGGGCUAUUGGCCUGAUCCAACAGACUCUUUUUAGUUCUUAUACACAACACCAUGUUCAAAUGCACUCAGGCAGUAACAGAGUGUGAGGCUACACAUCUUGUGGCUGCAGGAACAGGGCACUUGGCAGAGUUGGUGGUGGAUGACUGGGUGUAUUCAGCAGUCUUGGUCCAAAGAGGCUGAGGCUGUAAAAGGGGGCGCUAAUGGCCCACAUUAUAUCAUCUAGCAGAAAGUACAUGUGUCAAUAUAUAAACAAGUGCAAUGUGGGAUUUGGAAGCCCAGUGUCAUGCACAGUGAGUGAAAUAAUUUAAUUACUAAUUACAGUUCAUCAAAGGCUUAUCAUUUUUGCUGCAUGCCUCUCUACCAACACUUAACUUGUCCUUUGAUUGUAGUCUCUGAGGCAAACCCUCCCCCCCAAACCCUUAGCCAGAUUAUUACUCACUUCUCAAGCUCCUAAUUAAAGUAUAUUAAUAAAGACAGAUGCCUAAUAUGCACCCUUUGAGAGGAACAUAUUGAAAUGAAAUGAGCAAAAGUUCAGGCUAGCGUGACUCACAAAAAGGGGGAGCACUGCAUAUGGCUUGUCCAUGUUUCGAGUCUGUAAAUAAACACGAUGACAUCAGAUAGCUAAUGUGGUGCAUCUUGUUCUGCGAACAUUUUUUAUUGCACAUCCAGAUUAAACUUCCAGUCUCUGUGCUAAAAUUGUGAAUCCUAAAAUCUGUGAAAUAUUACUAAAAUAGAGAGCAGCAGUACACAAUUCUUCCCUCCCAUCUCAGCCAACUUUUUAAAUUUAUCUUAAAGUAGCUACACUGCUUGUUAACACUGUGUUGACGCUCGACAGUCAAAACUGUUGUGAACUUCCCAUGAUAUCACAAGCAGCUCAGCCAAUGUACACUGUACUCCUGUCUCACAGGAGCCCUCAUAGGGCAUUACUACCAUAAAGGAACAGCAUGAUUAGAAUGGGGCCAUCAAAUUGCGCCUUUAGCUCUGCAUCUGUUGUUGUUGUUCUCUUCCAUUUUGAAGUGUGCAGUGAGCCUGCAGCUCUCAUAUGGGGUGCUGGGAGUAGUUAGAAGUGUAGGAUAGCAAGCCUCAUAUAAGCAACAUGCUUAAGUCUAAUUAAUGCAUGAAGGGGUUAAGACCUUACGAGUAAGCUGUCCUGCCAGGUUCAGCUCCUUUAGGGAGGAACUAGGUAAUCAAGCCUUUGUUCCUUCAGUCUACUCGAGAAGCUCAGUGUAUAAAGAGGUUUGAGCUGGUUGUUCCAGUUCAGACCACAUGGCUCUCAUAAGCCACUCUUGAGUUCCUAUACCAAUGCCUGUGAAACUUUUUCUGAAUGCUGUAUGAAAAAACACACGAACCACACCUUUGAAGAGUUGGGGUACUCUCUGUUGGGGUUCCCUCACCAAAGAGUACUUGCCCCAAACUUGGAUACUGGCAUCCAGGAAUUCUCUUUAUACAUAUUUUUCUCCUUAACCAAAAAGAAGACCUCUAUUCUCCUCACAGGACUACAAUUCCCAGAGUUUCUUGCGAAGAUGAAUUGGCUUUUAAACCCCUCUAGGAGUUGUAGCUCUGUGAGGACAAUAGGGGUCUCCUAAGAAUGCUCAGCACCAGUGCUUUUUUCUGGAGGUACUCAGAAAUUGUCAGAUCAGGGUUUGAAGGGCCAAAAUCAUCAUAUUCAGUGGUACCACUGUUUUAGUAAUGCCUUUGACUUGAACCCUUGAGUACCUCCAGAAAAAAGCACUGGUGCUGAGCAUUCUUAGGAGACCCCUAUUUUCCUCACAGAGCUACAACUCCUAGAGGGGUUUAAAAGCCAAGAGAUGGGGGUGCAAGUCAAAAGCAUUACUAAAACAGUGUUACCACUGAAUAUGAUGAUUCUGGCCCUUCAAACCCUGAUCUGAUCUUUCUGGUGGAGAUUCCAAAAUCUGUGGUGCAUUUGAAGAAUCCACUUACAGCAAAUGAUCUUUCUUUUAUGUAUUCUGGUAAUUUUCUAACCAUUUAGUAUCACAUCAUAUAUCUUCACAGGUGUUUUAUCUGGACACCAGUGCGUAAGGACAACUAAGCAUUUAUACAUCUUUGAAACUACAAAACGUGAUGCUGAUCAGCUCUGAGCAAAACUAAACAUGAAUAAAAACAGUUUUUUUAUUUAACGUGAACAAUUGGUAAUACUGAAUUAAGAGAGUCAUAGAUUCACAACUUAGAACUCAACAAAAUUGAAAUUAGAAUGCAGAUUUUCAAUAGGAACCUGCUGUGCAAAAUUGUGAAACUGCAAAGUGCAAUUUACUCCAGGGCCUUUCUUUCCUUGGAUGGCUUGUUCUUCAAUCCUGCUUUUGUGCUCCCCCUGAAAUCUUUUACACUACAAAGGCAAAGACACCCCAAGUGCACAAAUGUUCUAAUCCAAUAGUUGAACAGUCACAGGAUGGGCAUGAGUGGUGGAGUGAACGUGUGCCAUGGAUUAUUUGAACACAUCUGACUAUACUGCUGAAGAUUUGUCCGGAGUCUGACUGUGAAUUAUGUGAAUACCCGCUUCCUUUUCUUUCUCAUUUUCAGAACAAGUUAUUUUCAAUCACAAACAUUUGAGGUUAUUACUGCACAACUCAAAGAAACCUUUGGUACUCAUUACGAUUUCAUUACGCUAAAGAGAUGAAAUUGCCUUCUGUCAAAAGAAUUUACCAUUUAGUUUAGCUCUUGGCUGCAGGAAACUAAUUGUCAGUGAAUCACAGAAGACAAUGCCUGCUCUUACUCAUUCAUAAGGUCCAUUGAUUCUAGCAGAUUUAACUUAUUCAUAAUAGAGGACAAGGCUGCACCGAGUAUCAUUUUGUUUUGUUAACGAUGCUCAUUUGAUGACAGCCUUAUCAGUAAUAUUUCAUUAGUAGAUGCUGAACCCCUGCUCACUUUGUUCGCCAGCUCCACUCUCCUGGCAGCCAGCCAGCCUCACCAAUGACCAUCCCUCCCCCUUUUACACCUCAGCAACCCCUGCCAUAAAACUCAGCCAAACCACCCCUCCACUUAGAACUCGCCAGACCCCCCCCCCAGCUGGCCUGGGCUGCCCACUUGCCUGUGCUGUCCAUUCUGUCUGCUGCUCAUUUGGAACAACUGGGUGCUCUUGAAAUGUACAAUAUUUUUGGAAUGCUCAACGUUGGGGGGGGGGAUGGCUUACUAAUUCACUUAAAGCUGUCCUGUUAAAGAUGGAGCUGACAGGUACCUAUUUAAGCUGAAAACCUCAGGAAAAAACAUAUGACUUGAGCACAAAAGGCUGUGAGAAAACUGAAUGGUAAAUAAUCUAGAAAUCACUGUCCACCUAUUGUGGUUUGGGUAAAGUGCAUAGAUAUGAAGGCGUAGCAUGCAAAUGAUGAAAAAUCUAAUGUGUACCAUUUACCAUGCUUUUUUAUAGAUUUCAAGAGAAUAAUUACUAGCUUGUAAAUACCAAUUACAAGGGAGACUGGCUGCACUGAGGAGAAAUUGAUUUUGUUUUUGUAUAUUUUUUUUUUAAAAAGUUUAUCACCAGUAGUCUAUUUCAGAUAAAAGUUUUAGAACAAAGAACCAUGUAAUGUGAAAUACACUAAUACUGUUCUAUGAUUAACUCAUGUGCGAGUACAUAAUUAGUGGAGCUGCUCAAUGAAAUAUGAGUUGUGGGACCUACCAAUAUAACUGUGAAGUUGAAGAGCUGCACAUAAACACCCUUGCAACCUUCUGCACAGCCCACCGUUACUUGAAGAAGAAGAAAUUAUUCCCAUUUAUGCCUUUCCUCAUUUCACUUCUCCUAAUUUUCAUGGUGCGAUGAGGCAGUCAUUUCAUUUUAUAUGGGAGCUGGUCUUUUAUAGGCCUGUUUUUCGCAGGCAACAGGUGAGGUGGGUAAAUGUCUUCUGUACUGAAUCCCUUCAGACUGCAGAUGAAGCGAUCACAUGAUCCAAUGCAUCUCUGCCCCCCUCCUCUCCCAAAUCCAAACAAAAAUCCUUAUACAGAGAAAACUAGCAAGCUAAAUUAGACUCUUUGCCUCUGGCGUCUACAGGUCCUUCCCAAUAUGAGCAUAAGCUGCUUCUCUUCUCAUGGAAGCAGAGCUCAACAGAACCUUUAUUCUCCUCUCAUUCCACCUGGCAUUUGAAUACAGGCAUGGAAACAUGUGCCUGAUGGGAGGACAUUGUAUAAUGGCCAGUGUGAUGUAGUGGUUAAGAGCAGUAGACUCGUAAUCUGGUGAACUGGGUUCGCGUCUCCGCUCCUCCAUAUGCAGCUGCUGGGUGACCUUGGGCUAGUCACACUUCUCUGAAGUCUCUCAACCUCACUCGCCUCACAGAGUGUUUGUUGUGGGGGAGGAAGGGAAAGGAGAUUGUUAGCCGCUUUGAGACUACUUAGGGUAGUGAUAAAGUGGGAUAUCAAAUCCAAACUCCUCCUCUUCUUCUCAUUGUACAGCCUCUGCAUAUGUCUUCAUUAGCACCGAGCUGAGAUACCCGCCCACAUUUUGCUGCCCACAUUUCAAGCAGUGAAAUGAGACAUUUUGUGGAUUAUAUGAGGGAUUGGGGCCCAUCAAAUUUACCCCAGUUUGAGCCAAAAGAGUAGGCAUUAGGCCUUGCAAAGAAUUUUGUGUUAACAAAGGUAAAGCACUACACUUCCUCGAAACAAGCAUGUGCCGAAUCCCUUGCAAUAUCUAAAAUUUGUGUGGAGCUUAGCAACUAAUCCUUGUAUAAAUCCUACAUUUGUAAAUAAAUCUUAUUCACUUCCUAUUUCCCUCAUGUGAAGUUGGUUCGUUUGGAAUGUGCAGGCUGUACGCUGGCAAAUUUUAAAGACUGACAUGUGCUCUGUGUAGUUACAACUAUUUGGCAUUUCAGGCAGUUGCGUUCUUUUGUUCCUUUGAACAGAUUAUUUGCUAGGUUGUGGCUGCCAGGAUGGAUAGCUGCCAUCUCUGGGAAUACUUUGUGUAUAUGGUGGUAAGGUUGAGUUUAUAAAAUGGUUUGUAGUAAGUACUCUUUAGCAUGUGAAGCCUUUGGUGUUGCCUUAAUCAUGUCUUCCUUUGAGAAAUAUAUAUUCAAAAGCCAGACUUCUUUCAAAAGAUCAUGAAAUAAAAUCUUGCAGCACUUCUUUUCAAGUCAGAGCCAAAACAAAGGUUGUAACUUCUAAUGUCUGUGCCUUUGCAAUUUCCUGAAUAUUAUGAGGAUUAAGUUUGCAGCCUGUAAGAUUUACUGUGAAAUCUCAGAGUAAUUCUUUUUCAUUGGGUCAGGCAUGAGCGUAUUCUUGACAGGUAUUUGGAGGGAUUUUGUGCACAAAUUGUGGAGUCCUAAUUAUUAUGAUUUGAUAGAAUUUUUAUUUUAAAAAAAUUAUGCUCAAAGCUUAGUCAAGAACGUGCUCUUUCCCCUAAAUAUAUAAAAGCGUGUGCCUCAUGACCAAGUGCAAACAAAUAGAAUGUUGUGUUCAAAUGAUGCAGGUGCCAGUUCAAGUCUUCUCAGCCAUGAAACUCAGUGGUUAGCCUGGUCAAGUCAUGGUGCAUCUACCUGACUUACUUUGCAAGAUUAUUAUUUUUAAAAUGUUUAUGUUUCUUUUUUGCAUAUUGGUGUAUAUUGAACCCUGAACCAUUUAUGAUUUCCCCCACCUCCAACAGUUCUAAUCACAGACUGUGACUGCAGCACAGAAAAUAUUCCCUCUUUCAAACACAGUGCCCCUGUAGUCAUCUCCACUUGUUCACUUCAGGUAUGUCUAAUAUGUGUUUGUUUGUGUGUGUGUGUGUGUGUGUGUGUGUGUGUGUGUGUAGGAAUCCCAAAGAGUCAUCUAAUCCAACCCCCUGCAAUGCAGAAACUACAAAAUGUCAAAAAAUAACCAUUCUCUGCAACCCCAUUUUUAAAUUUCAACUAUUAAUAAAAACAUUGUAUUUAGAUUUAAUGAAUCUUUGUGAACCCUAUGAGACCAGGGUUCAAAUCCUCACUCAGGCAUGAAGCACACAAGGUCACCUUGGGCCAAUCAACACCUUUCAGACUAACCUACAUCACAGAGAAAACAGGCAAUCCAACUCUAGUAGGCCAGAAACAAGGAACUGUUCUUCCUUCAUCUCUUUUUCAUAUGAAGAGGCAAAGAUCACGAAGGCAGCCUUCCACAAAUUUCCAGAUUUUCUCAAGUGCCCUGAACAUCAUGAGGAUGAAAAGCAAGCCAUCAGAGACCUCACUGCAGUGAUCCUGCAGAUAGAAGGUGAGGGUGGGGAUGUGGCAGAGGUGAGUUCCCACGUGGGCUGCUCAAAAGGUGUUGCGGCUCCCUAAGGCAAACUGCCCACUGAGAGGGCCCCAUGAGUUUAGAGACCAUUCCAAGGUCAUUCCUUGCAUGGCACAUCUCCUGGGUUCACUGGAGCAAGGAGCCAGCAAUUUUAAAAUGUCAGUUGCUAGCUGAGGAGCCCCUUCUUGUUAUAAGGGUAUCUCAUUCUCUUUCUGUCCUCUUCUUUUGAGGGCAGCCAAAGACCUCUUGAAGCAUCUGGUGGGGGUCCUCCAAUGGCAGCCUGGAGGCUGUCCUCUGGCAGGGGUGGCCUACAACCUGCAGGAGCUGCUCCACAAGAUCACCAAGUGCCUGGUAAAAGCCCUUCCUUCUCCAGCCACCAAUUCCCUCUGGUGCAGAGGCAAGAGGAUGGUGCAUCAUGUUCAGACUAUACAACAUUUGACUUAGAUUUGGCACCACAGCUCAGAGAUGGAGUUGGAGGCCCUGCUUUAUGAAAGUCUUUCCUACCUCUGCAGCAAGCAGGCAUCAGUGAAGAAGACUGCUACCAUGCUCAUCGGUAAUUGAAACAGAACUUUUGGGUCACUCUUAGCAGCAAACAGGCAGAAUCUCCCUUUGUGGUUUCAAGCUUUGUUCUGGUAUAGUCCGCUCACCUUCCCCGGUGGGUGAUGUUGCAGCUGGGCAUCCGGGACCACACAGUUAUCUGGCUGGG
This 8328-nucleotide long non-coding RNA is filed under the name Podarcis lilfordi (Lilford's wall lizard). Lineage: Eukaryota; Metazoa; Chordata; Lepidosauria; Squamata; Lacertidae. The record is from RNAcentral.